AUGAAAAGGCCACAAAUCUUGUGCAAGAGAUGCAGAAAAGAGGCAUUGAACCAAAUGCCAUUACAUACUCAACAAUCAUUUCUAUUUGGGGUAAGGCAGGAAAAUUGGAUAGGGCAGCAAUGUUGUUCCAAAAGCUGAGGAGUUCAGGGGUUGAGAUUGAUCAAGUCCUUUAUCAAACCAUGAUUGUAGCUUAUGAGAGGGUAGGCUUGGUUGCUCAUGCCAAGCGUCUGCUUCAUGAGCUCAAAUGCCCUGAUAGUAUCCCUAGGGAGACUGCCAUUAAAAUUCUUGCCAGAGCUGGUAGGAUAGAAGAGGCCACGUGGGUUUUUCGUCAGGCUUUUGAUGAUGGUGAGGUGAAGGACAUAUCUGUAUUUGGAUGCAUGAUUGAUCUUUUCUCAAGAAACAAAAGGCCUGCAAAUGUCAUCGAGGUGUUUGAGAAGAUGAGAGGAUCUGGAUAUUUCCCAGAUUCUGAUGUGAUUGCUCUUGUCCUGAAUGCUUAUGGAAAGUUGAGGGAAUUUGAGAAGGCAGAUUCUUUAUAUAGGGAAAUGCAGGAAGAAGGGUG
This 559-nucleotide unclassified non-coding RNA is filed under the name Hevea brasiliensis (rubber tree). Lineage: Eukaryota; Viridiplantae; Streptophyta; Magnoliopsida; Malpighiales; Euphorbiaceae. The record is from RNAcentral.